RNAcentral lists this transfer RNA (93 nucleotides) under Emticicia agri. RNAcentral's name for it is "Emticicia sp. 17J42-9 tRNA-Pro". It matches the Rfam family "tRNA". Rfam says of the family: Transfer RNA (tRNA) molecules are approximately 80 nucleotides in length. Their secondary structure includes four short double-helical elements and three loops (D, anti-codon, and T loops). Further hydrogen bonds mediate the characteristic L-shaped molecular structure. tRNAs have two regions of fundamental functional importance: the anti-codon, which is responsible for specific mRNA codon recognition, and the 3' end, to which the tRNAs corresponding amino acid is attached (by aminoacyl-tRNA synthetases). tRNAs cope with the degeneracy of the genetic code in two manners: having more than one tRNA (with a specific anti-codon) for a particular amino acid; and 'wobble' base-pairing, i.e. permitting non-standard base-pairing at the 3rd anti-codon position. Lineage: Bacteria; Pseudomonadati; Bacteroidota; Cytophagia; Cytophagales; Leadbetterellaceae. The record is from RNAcentral.
CGGGAUGUAGCACAGCCUGGUAGUGUGCACGUUUGGGGGGCGUGAGGUCGCAGACGGUCGGCCGCUGCCGUUCAAAUCCUGUCAUUCCGACAA